UCACAAAGAUUAACAUUUUAUGUAAUCGUACUUAUUUGUCACCUUAUGUUCUCACAAAGCUGCCAUCUUCUGUUCUGUUCCUCUCUUCUCAUACUCUGUUACCUACUUACCUUCUGAUCCUCAUCCCAUGGAAGUUUCCGGCGAACCCAUCCGGGUACAAUCCCUAGCCCAUUCAGGUCUAUCCCGGGUCCCACCCGAAUACAUCCAACCCCCUCAAAACCGACCCGUCCACCACAACCAACCCGAUCCCAGCACCAAUAUUCCCACCAUCAACCUCUCCGGGUUCGACCCGAAUCACCGCGACUCGACCCGGGAAUCCAUCCGGCGAGCCUGCCGCGAAUGGGGCGCCUUCCACGUCACCAACCACGGCGUUCCGACGACCCUCCUCGACUCCCUUCGGCGCUCGGGCCUCGCCUUCUUCAACGAGUGCCCCAUGCCGGAGAAGCUCCACUACGCCUGCGCCGCGGGAUCCGCCGCGUCGGAGGGGUACGGCAGCCGGAUGUUGGUGAGCGACGAAAACAACGACGGCGCGCAGGUCCUCGAUUGGAGAGACUACUUCGACCACCACACUCUUCCCCUUUCUCGCCGGAACCCUAAUCGGUGGCCCGAAUUCUCCUCCGGUUACAGGGAAUUGGUGGCGAGGUACAGUGAUGAGAUGAAGGCUUUGGCGCAGAAGUUGCUAAGUUUGAUCUCGGAGAGUCUUGGGUUGCGACCCUCGUGCAUUGAAGAUGUUGUUGGGGAGUUCUAUCAGAACAUCACCAUUAGCUAUUACCCUCCGUGUCCACAACCGGACCUUACACUUGGUCUCCAAUCACAUUCUGAUUUUGGUGCCAUUACCCUUUUGAUCCAAGAUGAUGUGGGUGGUCUUCAAGUUCUCAAGAAUGGUGAUGGUGGUGGUGACAGUUGGAUCACUGUGCAGCCCUUGUCAGAUGCUAUUCUUGUUCUCUUAGCUGAUCAAACUGAGAUUAUUACAAAUGGAAGGUACAGGAGCUGUGUGCAUAGAGCAAUUACUAAUCCUGAUAGACCACGACUCUCUGUGGCAACAUUUCAUGACCCAGCUAAGACAGUUAGAAUAUCCCCUGCUUCGGAACUGAUCGAUGAGUCAUCACCAGCUAAGUACCGGGAUGUUGUUUACGGAGACUAUGUAACAUCAUGGUAUACCAAAGGUCCUGAAGGAAAAAGAAAUAUCGAUGCACUUGUGCUGGAAUCUUAGUUGAAGACUAUCAUGCCUAUUUAAUGAAAAGGUGAUUGAAAAAUCAUUACGUGAUGAUGGUUGGAAGCUAGUUGGAUUCGCAAGAAAGGUUGCGAGUUGCAUGUUUUCUGAAAAGUUGAUUGGCAAAUGAUGGGUGAAUGAUGGUGGCAGGUUGGCAGGGGACAAGACAAGCAAACCGCAAACAAUGUUGCGAAUCCCAUUAUUAUGGCAUGGGGAAUGAGCGCGUGGCAGUCAAUGAUAGCAGGGUUGUCCAUGGCGACCAAGGUGCCAUAUUCGAAGGUCGGAGAAGGUCCAUGCAUCUGAAGCGCAACAUUACCUUCGACCGUUUGAAGAAGAAAAUCCACGAAAGGUUGAAGCUGCAAAGGAACCAGAUGAUUUCUAGAGUCAGCUCUAGAUUUAUGACGACACCGAAUCAAAAUACACUAAAGGGAUUGUUAGAAAUGAUUCCCAGGGUUUGUUAGACCAGCUUCCAUUUUAAGCCCUUGCAGACAUAGUUAGAUGGAGAAAGGAAGACGAAUAGAGGAAUGACAAGAGUUUGCUGCCAUGAUGAAUGCUUUAACAUAGAAGCACUUACGUGGCUUGAUGAAUGAACCAGAGAAUGACUUCAAGACUAUGGACUUUCAUGGCAAAUGUUGGAAAGACUUGAAGUAUUUGAAAUAUUAGAUUUUGAGUAGUUAUUAAAUUGCAGGAGGUCGAUCUUCCAUUGUUGUAUUUUGGUUUUCUUUUUUCUUUUUUUUUGACAAUGAAAAGCUAGGAUCAUUUAAACUCAAUUAUUUCUUUAAGAACCAAUGUAUAGUUUGGGCUAUACAUGAACCCUUUUCAAUGAAAUUAGCCGUGCAGGGUCUUUGCUCCA
Molecule: RNA transcript, 2066 nt
Organism: Lotus japonicus
Lineage: Eukaryota; Viridiplantae; Streptophyta; Magnoliopsida; Fabales; Fabaceae
Gene name: jasmonate-induced oxygenase 4
Exons: 7
Source: RefSeq, a predicted model, not a curated record